AACAUUCGGAUAAUUUUUAUUUUUGCAUUGGCAACACUGCAAUUGAUAGACGCCAAGUUUUAUUUUGUUUUCAAAAAUGGAAUAAUAUAACUACCUUCUUGUACGUUAUUUUUUAUUUCUAUAAAAAUGGUAAUGUGUUGAGUACCCGAAUGGUGACGAUUGAUAUUGAUAUCUGAAGAACGGAGUAGAAUGAUUCAUUAAUAUGUUGGUGUGGUGCUACUUUUAUAAAGAAGAUAAAGAAAAUCCUUCCAACAUAUUUUAAAAUAGGACUGGUGAAAAUUCAGAAGAAAUGUAUUACCUACUAUGUCAUGUGUAAAUCCUAGGUUUAUAAAAUUGAAAGCAAUAUAAUAUGACUAAACAAGGAUAGAGGAUUGUGUCUUUAUAAAAUAAUGUUUAUCACAGUAUGCAAACUACAAGCAUUACACCUCGGAAAUGUUUCUCCCUGAUUCAUAAUCCUCUUGGUUUUAUUCAAAUAAUGCAUUGUAGACCUUCUACAUCUUCAGUACCAUCUGAAUGUCAACCAGAGUCAUCUCAUUCAAGGGGUAUCACACCAAGUAUGGCCCCACAAGAUCCAGAAAUGUAUUUUUUUAACAAAAGAAUACCUAGCUGAAACUGAAAUUAGACAAUUUGUCAAAUACUGAUUUUCAUUUCAGCACAUUAAGAAUGAUCACAAUUUACUGAAAAUGUACAUUGGAAUACCAACUGGAAACUUAGAAUACCAUUAUUAUGGGUGAAGUGUGGCAUUUUUAACAAAAAAAUAUCAUUUAUUUAUGACAUAGAUGCAAUUACACUUAAAUUUGCUACAGUAGAUGGACUAUUGCAAAUAUUAUUUAUACAUUGCUAAUUGUUUUACAUGAAAUUUUGUUCUUUCAGCUAUUAAAAAAUAUACCAUUACAAUUUAAAAAUAAAUUACAUUUACCUGCUA
This 925-nucleotide long non-coding RNA is filed under the name Diabrotica virgifera virgifera (western corn rootworm). RNAcentral's name for it is "uncharacterized LOC114332315". Lineage: Eukaryota; Metazoa; Arthropoda; Insecta; Coleoptera; Chrysomelidae. The record is from RNAcentral.